GGAGGGGGCUAGCGUUGUUCGGAUUUACUGGGCGUAAAGGGCGCGUAGGCGGUAUGCCAUGUCAGGGGUGAAAGGCCUGGGCUCAACCCAGGAACUGCCUUUGAAACUGGCAAACUAGAGUCCGAUAGAGGAUGGCGGAAUUCCCAGUGUAGAGGUGAAAUUCGUAGAUAUUGGGAAGAACACCAGUGGCGAAGGCGGCCAUCUGGAUCGGCACUGACGCUGAGGCGCGAAAGCGUGGGGAGCAAACAGGAUUAGAUACCCUGGUAGUCCACGCCGUAAACGAUGUGUGCUAGACGUUGGGGGGCCUUAGGCCCUGAGUGUCGCAGCUAACGCAUUAAGCACACCGCCUGGGAGUACGGCCGCAAGGUUA
RNAcentral lists this ribosomal RNA (370 nucleotides) under uncultured organism. Its description in RNAcentral is "partial 16S ribosomal RNA". It matches the Rfam family "Bacterial small subunit ribosomal RNA", at positions 527 to 896 of the family's 1533-position model. The record is from RNAcentral.